Molecule: ribosomal RNA, 324 nt
Filed under: uncultured Bacillota bacterium
Lineage: Bacteria; Bacillati; Bacillota
Description: bacterial SSU rRNA
Rfam family: Bacterial small subunit ribosomal RNA
Source: RNAcentral
GACGAACGCUGGCGGCGUGCUUAACACAUGCAAGUUGAACGGAGAUAUCGUUUUCGGAUGAUAUCUUAGUAGCGGACGGGUGAGUAACGCGUGAGCAACCUACCUUUGUGAGGGGGACAACAGCUGGAAACGGCUGCUAAUACCGCAUAAGACCACGGAAUCGAUUGAUACUGAGGUCAAAGAUUUAUCGCACAAAGAUGGGCUCGCGUCCCAUUAGCUAGUUGGUGAGGUAACGGCCCACCAAGGCAUCGAUGGGUAGCCGACCUGAGAGGGUGAUCGGCCACACUGGAACUGAGACACGGUCCAGACUCCUACGGGAGGCAG